GUGGAGCAUGUGGUUUAAUUCGAAGAUACACGAAGAACCUUACCUGGCCUUGACAUGGUAGGAACCUUAAGAGAUUAGGGGUGCUAGCUUGCUAGAACCUACACACAGGUGCUGCACGGCUGUCGUCAGCUCGUGUCGUGAGAUGUUGGGUUAAGUCCCGCAACGAGCGCAACCCUCGUCCUUAGUUGCUAACAGUUCGGCUGAGCACUCUAGGGAGACUGCCUUCGCAAGGAGGAGGAAGGUGAGGACGACGUCAAGUCAUCAUGGCCCUUACGGCCAGGGCUACACACGUGCUACAAUAGGGCGUACAGAGAGCUGCGAUACCGCGAGGUGGAGCCAAUCUCUUAAAGCGUCUCUCAGUUCGGAUUGUUCUCUGCAACUCGAGAACAUGAAGCUGGAAUCACUAGUAAUCGCAGAUCAGCUAUGCUGCGGUGAAUACGUUCCCGGGUCUU
RNAcentral lists this ribosomal RNA (452 nucleotides) under uncultured Sulfuricurvum sp. RNAcentral describes it as "bacterial SSU rRNA". It matches the Rfam family "Bacterial small subunit ribosomal RNA", at positions 932 to 1382 of the family's 1533-position model. Lineage: Bacteria; Pseudomonadati; Campylobacterota; Epsilonproteobacteria; Campylobacterales; Sulfurimonadaceae. The record is from RNAcentral.